Molecule: ribosomal RNA, 465 nt
Filed under: Vreelandella stevensii
Lineage: Bacteria; Pseudomonadati; Pseudomonadota; Gammaproteobacteria; Oceanospirillales; Halomonadaceae
Description: partial 16S ribosomal RNA
Rfam family: Bacterial small subunit ribosomal RNA
Source: RNAcentral
CCUACGGGGGGCUGCAGUGGGGAAUAUUGGACAAUGGGGGCAACCCUGAUCCAGCCAUGCCGCGUGUGUGAAGAAGGCCCUCGGGUUGUAAAGCACUUUCAGUGAGGAAGAACGCCUGGUGGUUAAUACCCAUCAGGAAAGACAUCACUCACAGAAGAAGCACCGGCUAACUCCGUGCCAGCAGCCGCGGUAAUACGGAGGGUGUGAGCGUUAAUCGGAAUUACUGGGCGUAAAGCGCGCGUAGGUGGCUUGAUAAGCCGGUUGUGAAAGCCCCGGGCUCAACCUGGGAACGGCAUCCGGAACUGUCAAGCUAGAGUGCAGGAGAGGAAGGUAGAAUUCCCGGUGUAGCGGUGAAAUGCGUAGAGAUCGGGAGGAAUACCAGUGGCGAAGGCGGCCUUCUGGACUGACACUGACACUGAGGUGCGAAAGCGUGGGUAGCAAACAGGAUUAGAUACCCGAGUAGUC